UGAUCGCAAUCAUCUUCUUCCCCUUUUGAUCUGAAACGCGAUCCGUUAUGCAUAAAACACGACCCGAACAUACGAAAUGUUUUAUCUGAUGAUUAGACUCUGUUUUAAUGCCAAUUAAAUUGCAAUGAUGGAGAGUGAUGGUCUAGCAACAUAAUCGUUUCCUUUCAAACUCCAAUCGGUUGAUUAGGAUUCAAUUAUUCACACCAUUAAAACACUAUCAAGAACAUAUUUGGGUAUCUUUUAUUCCGCAAAUCACCAAACAAGGCCUAUACCAUACGAUUCUUCUGGCCAAACCAUGUAAAACCCCACUGAAAUUUCCUCGUUUUAUCAACUGUACAUCGCGAAUUGGAUCAAAGAACAUUCUAGGGCUCCAAACUUCACAUGGCGAUAUCAUCUUCAAUUCUUAACCUUUUUCAGGUUUUCAAAGUUGAUGAUCAAGUGAUGUGGACACGUAGCAUGGGCCUUAGGAAAAUAAAUUGAAAUCUUGAUAUGUUUGUUUUGAACAAUGUAUGAACAAUUUUGAUUAUUAUAUGUUAUGUGACUAUUUA
This 548-nucleotide long non-coding RNA is filed under the name Helianthus annuus (common sunflower). RNAcentral's name for it is "sRNA HanXRQr2_Chr10g0438181". The record is from RNAcentral. Lineage: Eukaryota; Viridiplantae; Streptophyta; Magnoliopsida; Asterales; Asteraceae.